GAUUAGUGGCGAACGGGUGAGUAACACGUGAGUAACCUGCCCUUGACUCUGGGAUAAGCCUGGGAAACUGGGUCUAAUACCGGAUAUGACUGUCUGACGCAUGUCAGGUGGUGGAAAGCUUUUGUGGUUUUGGAUGGACUCGCGGCCUAUCAGCUUGUUGGUGGGGUAAUGGCCUACCAAGGCGACGACGGGUAGCCGGCCUGAGAGGGUGACCGGCCACACUGGGACUGAGACACGGCCCAGACUCCUACGGGAGGCAGCAGUGGGGAAUAUUGCACAAUGGGCGCAAGCCUGAUGCAGCGACGCCGCGUGAGGGAUGACGGCCUUCGGGUUGUAAACCUCUUUCAGUAGGGAAGAAGCGAAAGUGACGGUACCUGCAGAAGAAGCGCCGGCUAACUACGUGCCAGCAGCCGCGGUAAUACGUAGGGCGCAAGCGUUAUCCGGAAUUAUUGGGCGUAAAGAGCUCGUAGGCGGUUUGUCGCGUCUGCUGUGAAAGACCGGGGCUCAACUCCGGUUCUGCAGUGGGUACGGGCAGACUAGAGUGAUGUAGGGGAGACUGGAAUUCCUGGUGUAGCGGUGAAAUGCGCAGAUAUCAGGAGGAACACCGAUGGCGAAGGCAGGUCUCUGGGCAUUAACUGACGCUGAGGAGCGAAAGCAUGGGGAGCGAACAGGAUUAGAUACCCUGGUAGUCCAUGCCGUAAACGUUGGGCACUAGGUGUGGGGGACAUUCCACGUUUUCCGCGCCGUAGCUAACGCAUUAAGUGCCCCGCCUGGGGAGUACGGCCGCAAGGCUAAAACUCAAAGGAAUUGACGGGGGCCCGCACAAGCGGCGGAGCAUGCGGAUUAAUUCGAUGCAACGCGAAGAACCUUACCAAGGCUUGACAUGAACCGGUAAUACCUGGAAACAGGUGCCCCGCUUGCGGUCGGUUUACAGGUGGUGCAUGGUUGUCGUCAGCUCGUGUCGUGAGAUGUUGGGUUAAGUCCCGCAACGAGCGCAACCCUCGUUCUAUGUUGCCAGCGCGUUAUGGCGGGGACUCAUAGGAGACUGCCGGGGUCAACUCGGAGGAAGGUGGGGACGACGUCAAAUCAUCAUGCCCCUUAUGUCUUGGGCUUCACGCAUGCUACAAUGGCCGGUACAAAGGGUUGCGAUACUGUGAGGUGGAGCUAAUCCCAAAAAGCCGGUCUCAGUUCGGAUUGGGGUCUGCAACUCGACCCCAUGAAGUCGGAGUCGCUAGUAAUCGCAGAUCAGCAACGCUGCGGUGAAUACGUUCCCGGGCCUUGUACACACCGCCCGUCAAGUCACGAAAGUUGGUAAC
RNAcentral lists this ribosomal RNA (1316 nucleotides) under Paenarthrobacter sp. RNAcentral describes it as "bacterial SSU rRNA". It matches the Rfam family "Bacterial small subunit ribosomal RNA", at positions 90 to 1418 of the family's 1533-position model. The record is from RNAcentral. Lineage: Bacteria; Bacillati; Actinomycetota; Actinomycetes; Micrococcales; Micrococcaceae.